Molecule: transfer RNA, 73 nt
Filed under: Acanthamoeba castellanii str. Neff
Lineage: Eukaryota; Discosea; Longamoebia; Acanthamoebidae
Rfam family: tRNA
About the family: Transfer RNA (tRNA) molecules are approximately 80 nucleotides in length. Their secondary structure includes four short double-helical elements and three loops (D, anti-codon, and T loops).
Source: Rfam by way of RNAcentral
CUCGCCAUGGCUCAAUGGGUGGAGCGCCAGUCCCAUAAGCUGAAGGUUCGAGGUUCGACCCCCUCGUGGCGAG